This 945-nucleotide ribosomal RNA is filed under the name uncultured archaeon. Its description in RNAcentral is "bacterial SSU rRNA". It matches the Rfam family "Archaeal small subunit ribosomal RNA", at positions 1 to 923 of the family's 1478-position model. The record is from RNAcentral.
CCGGGUUGAUCCUGCCGGACCCUACUGCUAUCGGGGUGGGACUAAAACAUGCGAGUCGAACGACUUCUAGCCAUGAUGAAGUCGUGGCAUACGGCUCAGUAACACGUGGCUAACCUACCCUUGAGACGGAGACAACCCCGGGAAACUGGGGCUAAUCCCAGAUAGACGAGAACUCCUGGAACGGGUUCUCGCCCAAAAGGCAUCAAGGCCACGCUUCUUGAUGUCGCUCAAGGAUGGAGCCGCGACCGAUCAGGCUGUUGGUGAGGCAACGGCUCACCAAACCUAUAACCGGUACGGGCCGUGGGAGCGGGAGCCCGGAGAUGGGAACUGAGACAAGGUCCCAGGCCCUACGGGGCGCAGCAGUUGCGAAAACUCCGCAAUGCACGAAAGUGUGACGGGGCUACCCCGAGUGCCGUCCGCUGAGGAUGGCUUUUCCCUGGUGUAAGGAGCCGGGGGAAUAAGGAGAGGGCAAGUCUGGUGUCAGCCGCCGCGGUAAUACCAGCUCUCCGAGUGGUGGGGAUGAUUAUUGGGCUUAAAGCGUCCGUAGCCUGCUCUUCAAGUCUCUCGUUAAAUCCAGCGAUUCAAUCGUUGGACUACGGGAGAUACUGUUGGACUAGGAGGCGGGAGAAGCCGACGGUAUUUCCGGGGUAGGGGUAAAAUCCUAUAAUCCCGGGAGGACCACCAGUGGCGUAGGCGGUCGGCUAGCACGCGCUCGACGGUGAGGGACGAAAGCUGGGGGAGCAAACCGGAUUAGAUACCCGGAUAGUCCCAGCUGUAAACGAUGCGGGCUAGGUGUUGGAGUGGCCACGAGCCACUUCAGUGCCGCAGGGAAGCCAUUAGGCCCGCCGCCUGGGGAGUACGGCCGCAAGGCUGAAACUUAAAGGAAUUGGCGGGGGAGCACCACAAGGGGUGAAGCUUGCGGUUCAAUUGGAGUCAACGCCGGGA